Molecule: long non-coding RNA, 968 nt
Filed under: Struthio camelus australis
Lineage: Eukaryota; Metazoa; Chordata; Aves; Struthioniformes; Struthionidae
Description: lncRNA (ENSSCUG00000004888.1)
Source: RNAcentral
UGUGAGCAGCAUCCUCUACCCACAUGGAUUUCACAGUGGUAUAUAUGCUGAGGGUGAGCGGGAGCUAUAAUUCAAGUGGAAAUUCUUAGAGCAUUAGGAGCCUCUGUCAGGGGAAUUUCACCUACUAGAGCAGUGUUGUGACCCUUGGUGUUGCUUCUUGCAAAGAGGUAUUGGCAAAAACAUGUAACCUUCCACAAGUCCCACUCAAGCCCCACGAGCUGAGGGGCUGGGGGGAGAAGGGUUGAGUCCUUGCUCAUCCAGAGAGCAUGUCAGUGACUUCCCUCCAAAAAGCAAUAGUUCAGUUUCACUAGAAGUUAGCAGCAAGCAGAAGAAACGUGAAGAGUAGCGUAGCCCAAGCAGUGUCCCUAUAAGGUCUCCACGUGGUGCCCAGACACUGAGAAGCAGUGACUCUUCAGGCUGAAAAAAUGAGUCUGUCUUUGAAACCCUGCCAGACUGAACUCCUCUUCAGGAAGCACUGAGAAAGGAGCUAACUUGAACCAACCACGGAGGCAAUUUUGGUGACUUCCCAUUUCAAGACAAUCCUUUAUCAGGUCAGCUGCCCUAUCCUGCUCCCUUGGCUAUGUGCUGAUAGAGUGAGUUUCUCCUGAAGAAAGUGGAGGCUGAGAUGCAUCAGAGAGAUCUGGAGUGUAACCUGACACGUCAGCACCAUUCAGAGGGUUGUAAAUACUUCCCCAAACCUACAGGUAUUUCCAGGCUUGGCAUCUAGUGUUCUGCGGAAUUGCUUCCAGCCAGAGGUGAGUGGGUGUUAGAGACCUGACUGUUCCAUCCCCUCUUCUGUGCUUCUCACCACCAUUUACUUGGUUCUCCACAGGGCUCUGGUCCAAAUGCCAACGUUUAGAAGUUGCACUAUCAACCUUAUUCCAGGGAUACUCAGCCUGCAAUGAAUGCAUUGGUUUGCAGAUUAUUUUGAAAGCCAGAAGGAACUGCUCACCCAGCAGUGUGAACAA